RNAcentral lists this ribosomal RNA (406 nucleotides) under uncultured bacterium. Its description in RNAcentral is "partial 16S ribosomal RNA". It matches the Rfam family "Bacterial small subunit ribosomal RNA", at positions 30 to 526 of the family's 1533-position model. The record is from RNAcentral.
AUUGAACGCUGGCGGCAGGCCUAACACAUGCAAGUCGAGCGAGCGGCGGACGGGUGAGUAAUGUCUGGGAAACUGCCUGAUGGAGGGGGAUAACUACUGGAAACGGUAGCUAAUACCGCAUACCAUCAGAUGUGCCCAGAUGGGAUUAGAUAGUAGGUGGGGUAACGGCUCACCUAGGCGACGAUCCCUAGCUGGUCUGAGAGGAUGACCAGCCACAUCGGAACUGGGACACGGUCCAGACUCCUAAGGGAGGCAGCAGCGGGGAAUAUUGCGCAAUGGGCGCAAGUCUGAUGCAGCCAUGCCGCGUGUGUGAAGAAGGCCUUCGGGUUGUAAAGCACUGUCAGCGGGGAGGCGUUACCCGCAGAAGAAGCACCGGCUAACUCCGUGCCAGCAGCCGCGGUAAUUC